GACGAACGCUGGCGGCGUGCUUAACACAUGCAAGUCGAACGGAAAGGCCCUUCUUUUGUGGGGUGCUCUAGUGGCUACCUUUUUAGUAACACUUUAGUAACCUGCCCUUUACUUUGUGAUAACUUCAGGAAACUUGGGCUAAUACCUGAUAGGAUCUCCUGCUGCAUUUUGUGGGUUGGAAAGUUUCGGCGGUUGGGGAUGGACUCGCGGCUUAUCAGCUUGUUGGUGGGGUAGUGGCUUACCAAGGCUUUGACGGGUAGCCGGCCUGAGAGGGUGACCGGACACAUUGGGACUGAGAUAAGGCCCAGACUCAUACGGGAGGCAGAAGUGGGGAAUAUUGCACAAUGGGAGGAAGCCUGAUGCAGAAACGACGAGUGCGGGAUGACGGCCUUAGGGUUGUAAACCGCUUUCGCCUGUGACGAAGCGUGAGUGACGGUAAUGGGUAAAGAAGCACCGGCUAACUACGUG
RNAcentral lists this ribosomal RNA (468 nucleotides) under uncultured bacterium. RNAcentral's name for it is "partial 16S ribosomal RNA". It matches the Rfam family "Bacterial small subunit ribosomal RNA", at positions 28 to 507 of the family's 1533-position model. The record is from RNAcentral.